GUGGGGAAUAUUGGGCAAUGGACGCAAGUCUGACCCAGCAACGCCGCGUGAAGGAAGAAGGCUUUCGGGUUGUAAACUUCUUUUGUCAGGGAAGAGUAGAAGACGGUACCUGACGAAUAAGCCACGGCUAACUACGUGCCAGCAGCCGCGGUAAUACGUAGGUGGCAAGCGUUGUCCGGAUUUACUGGGUGUAAAGGGCGUGCAGCCGGGCCGGCAAGUCAGAUGUGAAAUCUGGAGGCUUAACCUCCAAACUGCAUUUGAAACUGUAGGUCUUGAGUACCGGAGAGGUUAUCGGAAUUCCUUGUGUAGCGGUGAAAUGCGUAGAUAUAAGGAAGAACACCAGUGGCGAAGGCGGAUAACUGGACGGCAACUGACGGUGAGGCGCGAAAGCGUGGGGAGCAAACAGGAUUAGAAACCCUAGUAGUCCC
Molecule: ribosomal RNA, 428 nt
Filed under: uncultured bacterium
Lineage: Bacteria
Description: bacterial SSU rRNA
Rfam family: Bacterial small subunit ribosomal RNA
Source: RNAcentral